RNAcentral lists this ribosomal RNA (406 nucleotides) under uncultured bacterium. RNAcentral's name for it is "partial 16S ribosomal RNA". It matches the Rfam family "Bacterial small subunit ribosomal RNA", at positions 30 to 526 of the family's 1533-position model. The record is from RNAcentral.
AUUGAACGCUGGCGGCAGGCCUAACACAUGCAAGUCGAACGAGCGGCGGACGGGUGAGUAAUGUCUGGGAAUCUGCCCGAUGGAGGGGGAUAACUACUGGAAACGGUAGCUAAUACCGCAUACCAUCGGAUGUGCCCAUAUGGGAUUAGCUAGUAGGUGGGGUAACGGCUCACCUAGGCGACGAUCCCUAGCUGGUCUGAGAGGAUGACCAGCCACACGGGAACUGAGACACGGUCCAGACUCCUACGGGAGGCAGCAGUGGGGAAUAUGGCACAAUGGGAGCAAGCCUGAUGCAGCCAUGCCGCGUGUAUGAAGAAGGCCUUCGGGUUGUAAAGUACUUGCAGUGAGGAGGCGUUACUCACAGAAGAAGCACCGGCUAACUCCGUGCCAGCAGCCGCGGUAAUAC